Molecule: long non-coding RNA, 585 nt
Organism: Bos taurus (domestic cattle)
Lineage: Eukaryota; Metazoa; Chordata; Mammalia; Artiodactyla; Bovidae
Source: Ensembl
GCCGCUGCAGGCCCCACCCCCCUGGCUCUCCGUCCCCAGCCAGACGGGUGGUGACGAAAUCCCCGGAGCACUGACUGGGAGUCACAACCCGGGAAGGACUUCGGGCUGGGCCAAGCGGGGACUGUGUGACUGCAGCUGGGUCACUUCACCCCCCGCGUCUCCAUUCUCUCAGCAGGAAAAUGAGGGUGCUAACACCCUCCCCCUUCCCAGGGAGGUUGGACCACUGGAACAGAGAUGCGGAAGUGGAAAGCCAUCGCAGACAUAGAGCAUCCUCGUUCUCUUUUUCUGGAGUGUUCAAGUGAAAACCUCAAGCCAACUGGUUUUUCUGCUUGCCAGCCAGCCAGGCCCUAACCAGCCACGUGAUACAGCUGGGGCCCAGAACUCAGAAACAUCUCAAGACUGCUUCUGCCCCUAGACCCAGGGCUCCAGCCGGAGGCAGAUGGUCAAGGGCUGAGGGCCAGGUUCAGGUUACCCAGUUAGACAGCAGGCUGGGGUGGGGUGGGGACUCACUUGAAACCACCUUUGAAAUGUUACGCUUCUGAAUCACUAACAUGACGUCAACCCCCUUCCCAUUUACCCACCAAU